RNAcentral lists this ribosomal RNA (406 nucleotides) under uncultured bacterium. Its description in RNAcentral is "partial 16S ribosomal RNA". It matches the Rfam family "Bacterial small subunit ribosomal RNA", at positions 28 to 526 of the family's 1533-position model. The record is from RNAcentral.
GAUGAACGCUAGCUACAGGCUUAACACAUGCAAGUCGAGGGACCGGCGCACGGGUGAGUAACACGUAUCCACCCUGCCCUUUACUCGGGGAUAGCCUUUCGACAGAAAGAUUAAUACCCGAUGUAAAGGAUUGGGAUGCGUUCCAUUAGGUUGUUGGUGAGGUAACGGCUCGCCAAACCUUCGAUGGAUAGGGGUGCGGAGGGGAAGGUCCACUAGAUUGGAACUGCGAAACGGUCCAAAAUCAGACGGGAGGGAGAAGUGAGGAAUAGUGGGGAAUGAGGGUUAGCCUGAACAAGCCAAGUAGGGUGAAGGAGGAAGGCGUAUGGGUAGUAAACUUCUUUGAGAGAAGAAUAUGUAUUAUAUGAAUAAGGAUCGGCUAACUCCGUGCCAGCAGCCGCGGUAAUAC